GCCGCGGUAGCUCAGUGGUAGAGCACAUCGCUGAAAACGAUGGGGUCGAGGGUUCGAUUCCCUCCUGCGGCAC
This 73-nucleotide transfer RNA is filed under the name bacterium HR34. RNAcentral's name for it is "tRNA-Phe". It matches the Rfam family "tRNA". From Rfam's summary of the family: Transfer RNA (tRNA) molecules are approximately 80 nucleotides in length. Their secondary structure includes four short double-helical elements and three loops (D, anti-codon, and T loops). Further hydrogen bonds mediate the characteristic L-shaped molecular structure. tRNAs have two regions of fundamental functional importance: the anti-codon, which is responsible for specific mRNA codon recognition, and the 3' end, to which the tRNAs corresponding amino acid is attached (by aminoacyl-tRNA synthetases). tRNAs cope with the degeneracy of the genetic code in two manners: having more than one tRNA (with a specific anti-codon) for a particular amino acid; and 'wobble' base-pairing, i.e. permitting non-standard base-pairing at the 3rd anti-codon position. The record is from RNAcentral.